GAUAAACGCUGGCUACAGGCUUAACACAUGCAAGUCGAGGGGAAACGGCAUUGAGUGCUUGCACUGAAUGGACGUCGACCGGCGCACGGGUGAGUAACGCGUAUCCAACCUUCCCGUUACUGCGGGAUAACCUGCCGAAAGGCAGACUAAUACCGCAUGUUCUUCGAUGACGGCAUCAGAUUCGAAGCAAAGAUUUAUCGGUAAUGGAGGGGGAUGCGUCUGAUUAGCUGGUUGGCGGGGCGACGGCCCACCAAGGCGACGAUCAGUAGGGGUUCUGAGAGGAAGGUCCCCCACAUUGGAACUGAGACACGGUCCAAACUCCUACGGGAGGCAGCAGUGAGGAAUAUUGGUCAAUGGGCGGAAGCCUGAACCAGCCAAGUAGCGUGCAGGAUGACGGCCCUACGGGUUGUAAACUGCUUUUAUGCGGGGAUAAAGUGAGGGACGUGUCCCUUUUUGCAGGUACCGCAUGAAUAAGGACCGGCUAAUUCCGUGCCAGCAGCCGCGGUAAUACGGAAGGUCCGGGCGUUAUCCGGAUUUAUUGGGUUUAAAGGGAGCGUAGGCCGGGGAUUAAGUGUGUUGUGAAAUGUAGGCGCCCAACGUCUGACUUGCAGCGCAUACUGGUUCCCUUGAGUACGCGCAACGCCGGCGGAAUUCGUCGUGUAGCGGUGAAAUGCUUAGAUAUGACGAAGAACCCCGAUUGCGAAGGCAGCCGGCGGGAGCGCAACUGACGCUGAAGCUCGAAGGUGCGGGUAUCGAACAGG
Molecule: ribosomal RNA, 761 nt
Filed under: uncultured Prevotella sp.
Lineage: Bacteria; Pseudomonadati; Bacteroidota; Bacteroidia; Bacteroidales; Prevotellaceae
Description: bacterial SSU rRNA
Rfam family: Bacterial small subunit ribosomal RNA
Source: RNAcentral